AAACCCAGAAAUGCAUCAAAAAUACUGAGAAAACCUUUCUGCAGUACUACACACACAGCAGACAGAAAUACCACCUGAAUUUCUGCUACCUAGAACCAAACACAUUCUUGAUGCCAUGACUUGGAAGAAACAAAAGCAUUAUGUCCUUCGCUGAAAUCUUAAGUGUUAUUUUAAAUAAUCCAAAUGUUAUUUCCUUGAUUACUUUCAUCUGAUCAGCAGGGUUUUCAAUGAUACAUCUAGUCUGACUGCCAUCUCUUGGUCUUCAUUGAUUUCGUAGGAACCUGGGAAUGCGCUCACUUUGUAUAUGACCUUGACCAUAUUUUCUAUAAACUCAUGGAUGAAGGCAUGUUUUAAGAUUAUGCAAGAGAUCCAGGAAUGCAAGAGAACAUUAGAAACAGCUUUGCAGCUGAGACGAGGAGGCCACAUGAAGCACGCAGAUGCUACCCAUCUUCGUACCAACUCCUCAAAUGCCUCUAGGGGAACAAGCAAAGGAUUCCAACCUAUCUAGUGGGAAUCAGUUGAAUAUGAUUAUUGGUAUGAAAAAAGCAGAAAGCUGUAAUCUGUAGCAAUCCAACUCAUCUUAUUUUAUGAUACUACUACCUACACAAAGUUAGAACAAUACCUCUGCUAGUGUACCAAUCUUGGAAUGUUUCAAAUGGAACUGUGCUCUUUCUUACAAAACAAUCAUCUUUACUGAUAGUCACAUUGCCACUUUAUGAUCAAGCUUUAUUAAAAGGAUAUUGUGCAAAAAAUAUAUCUAAACAUUAAAGCCACAGCACACCUGAUAACUCUUGUUUUACAAAUGAGAGCACAGCCAAGUAGACUUGACAGUCUGCUACAAUUAUUUGUCUUUGUAGACGAUCUAUCAUGGAUAGAGUAGAUUUUCGUCCAUCAACCUGUUUGGAAUAUACAAACAGAGAACACAGAAAAAUGUUAACAAAAAUAAUACAGAAUACUAGUCUAAAUCUGACAACUUAAAAAAAAAUCCAAAAUUAACUGCAAGUGGUAGUAUUGCUACUAAAUUGACUCAGCAUUUUGAAGUGCAAAACUAUGCUAAAAUUUCUUUGACAGGUCAUCAAGUAACAUCCUACUAAAUAAACAGGGAAAUCUUACACAUAUACUAUCAACUGUUUUUCUUAAGAUUCUACAAAUACUCAGAACAGAUUUAAAUUUCAUUUAAUUACUACUAAACACAUCAGACAUACAACUAAAAGAUGUUAGAUAGGAAGAGCCCAGACAGAGGUAUAUGAAAAGUGGCAGGGAAGAUACAGUGCCUCUGAAGAGCAGAGAGUUAAGUAUGUUAGAUUCAAUACUUUUCACCAAGUAAACUAAAUAUUGAAGAGAAAUGGCUGCUUCUUCUGCUGUAGAUCUGCUACGUCACACUAGGCACGUCACUCACUGGACAUUUCUAUACUACUACUUUAACUAGUUCUCAAUCCGCAUGCUUUAUUCUUCCUUCAUUAUUUAGAAUGAAACACCUAGGACAGGAAGGAAAAUUCCCUAGGAAUACCUGGCACACAGCACUAUGCAGCCUCAACAUCACAACUUUUGAAUAUUAUGAGAGCAUGUAUGAAUUAAAGUUAGCUUGAAUUAGACAGGCUACAAGCUUCCUGAAAUAAUUUUAGUAGAUCACUAAUUUGAGGCCUUAAGAAAAUAAUUACUAACAUCAAUACAACCUGCUGCUUUAGAAGAGGAAUUACCUGACUCUUGAGUAUUUUAUAAUUAGGAAGUCCAAGCAGAACUUUUGACUUAAUUUCUAAACUUAUUAUUAAUCUCAACUGCUCUUCACACAUGAAAAAUCACCUAUUCAAAACACAAAGGUGACAGAAAGGAAGUUUCCAGAAAUAUUUAUCGAAUAUACAAUUCCAUAUUUUACAAAUAAUUUUCUUACAUUCUUUUUAAUUUUAUUCUUGAUUGUUUCUAUAACUCCAGCUUCUUCACUUUCACAAAGUUUCUCUGUAGCCUUUAAGUCAUCACACGCCAGCUGCAUUUUCUCUUCUUCAAAUGUCAUCAUGGCAUUC
Harpia harpyja (harpy eagle) is the source of this 2021-nucleotide long non-coding RNA. RefSeq lists it as uncharacterized. The transcript is spliced from 2 exons. NCBI's taxonomy places the organism in Eukaryota, Metazoa, Chordata, Aves, Accipitriformes, Accipitridae. The record is from RefSeq and is a predicted model, not a curated record.